This 304-nucleotide ribosomal RNA is filed under the name uncultured bacterium. RNAcentral's name for it is "partial 16S ribosomal RNA". It matches the Rfam family "Bacterial small subunit ribosomal RNA", at positions 506 to 807 of the family's 1533-position model. The record is from RNAcentral.
CAGCAGCCGCCGCGGGAAUACGAAGGGUGCAAGCGUUAAUCGGAAUUACUGGGCGUAAAGCGUGCGUAGGCGGUGAGUUAAGUCUGCUGUGAAAUCCCCGGGCUCAACCUGGGAAUGGCAGUGGAUACUGGCUCGCUAGAGUGUGUCAGAGGAUGGUGGAAUUCCCGGUGUAGCGGUGAAAUGCGUAGAGAUCGGGAGGAACAUCAGUGGCGAAGGCGGCCAUCUGGGACAACACUGACGCUGAGGCACGAAAGCGUGGGGAGCAAACAGGAUUAGAUACCCGAGUAGUCCCUGUCUCUUAUAC